ACGACAUAAUAAACAAAAGAAAUGAGUCUAGCAUGCUUGUUAAAACCUCUAAGCUGUAUAGAUUUAUAAAUACACUUAACAAAAUUUGUUUAAACAUAAAAAAAAAGUGUCAAAAUAGAAAAGUAUUAAUUUGUAUAGAUGUUAAGAAUAUAAAUAUAGACAUAUUAGAUAGUUUUUAUAUUUAUGAUAGUAAUUAUUUACUAAUAAAUAAUGUUCACCCUUAUUAUAAUAGUAGUUAUUUUUAUGUAACCAAAGAGGAAUACGUAAGAUUUCACAAACAGUGUAGUGUAAAAGAUAGUAGUAGUGGCAGUAGUGGUAGUAGUGGUAGUAGCGGUAGUAGUGGCAGUAGUGGUAGUAGUAGCUGUAGUGGUAGCAGUACCAUGUUGAUAAAAAAAAAAAGUCUGUUUUAUGAAACCAUGAAUGAAUUAAUUUUUAAUAAAAUAACAAAUUAUGAUGCUAACAAUUUGUUUUAUAUGAUAUCUUUCAAAGAAAAUCGGAUUAAACGAAUAUCAAUUCGUUUUUAUUGUACCAUUAUAUGUAACAACGUGAGAAAGAGUGGGCGCACUUUCACUGGUACAGGUACGGAUAAAAAAACGAAUGACAUAUUAAGUAUAAUUAUAUACAAUUUUAGGUGUAUUUUUUCAAAUAUGGUGCAAAAACAUAUUAAUAGUAUACUAAAAAAUGAUAUAUUAUACGACAUAGGAAAAUUUGUUAUAAAUAGAGGCAAGGGAAUGUAUUUUAAUCGUUUAAAAAAUGAUAAAACGGUUAAAAAAAAAAAAAAGAGGAAAUUAAGAACUUGUGCAUAUAGUGAUCAUUGUAGUAGUAACAGAUAUGCGUUAAACACUGUGAACGAAGAUUUUAAAGAUUCUGAUAUAUUUGCACCAAAAUUAAAAACUAGUGAAUACGAAAAAGAGGAUGUAUAUUUUUCUUGUUCUUUAAGCAGCGUGUUUUCUAAUUUUACAUCAAGAACAGCAUCUUCUUUUUCGAAAAAUUCGUUAGCAUCAUUCAACCCGUUAUUAAGAAGAAUCCACAGUAAUGACAUAAGUCAUCAGAUAGUACAUGCAAAUGCAAAUGCAAAUACAAAAGGCAAAAUAAAUUGUUAUAAUAAUCUUCUUUGUUUACCAUUUGACCAAAAAAUGUAUAAUCCGAAUGGUGGUAAUAAUAAGAAGCAGCGUGGUAACAUAGCUACUGCUUUAGCCAAAAAUAAUAAUAUUAAAAAUAAUUCGGAAC
RNAcentral lists this long non-coding RNA (1230 nucleotides) under Piliocolobus tephrosceles (Ugandan red Colobus). RNAcentral describes it as "lncRNA (ENSPTEG00000006671.1)". Lineage: Eukaryota; Metazoa; Chordata; Mammalia; Primates; Cercopithecidae. The record is from RNAcentral.